This 493-nucleotide ribosomal RNA is filed under the name uncultured Prevotella sp. Its description in RNAcentral is "partial 16S ribosomal RNA". The record is from RNAcentral. Lineage: Bacteria; Pseudomonadati; Bacteroidota; Bacteroidia; Bacteroidales; Prevotellaceae.
CACGGAAUUAGCCGGUCCUUAUUCAUAAGGUACAUGCAAAAAGUCUCACGAGACUCACUUUAUUCCCUUAUAAAAGCAGUUUACAACCCAUAGGGCCGUCAUCCUGCACGCUACUUGGCUGGUUCAGACUCUCGUCCAUUGACCAAUAUUCCUCACUGCUGCCUCCCGUAGGAGUUUGGACCGUGUCUCAGUUCCAAUGUGGGGGACCUUCCUCUCAGAACCCCUACUGAUCGUCGCCUUGGUGGGCCGUUACCCCGCCAACAAGCUAAUCAGACGCAUCCCCAUCCAUCACCGAUAAAUCUUUAAUCUCUUUCAGAUGUCUUCUAGAGAUAUCAUUGGGUAUUAGUCUUACUUUCGCAAGGUUAUCCCAAGUGAUGGGCAGGUUGAUACGCGUUACUCACCGUGCGCCGGUCGACGCCAUCAAAAGCAAGCUUUCGAUGUCGUUUCCCCUCGUACUUGCAUGUGUUAAGCCUGUAGCUAGCGUUCAUCCUGA